Molecule: non-coding RNA, 4953 nt
Organism: Equus caballus (horse)
Lineage: Eukaryota; Metazoa; Chordata; Mammalia; Perissodactyla; Equidae
Source: RefSeq, a predicted model, not a curated record
UUCUCAUUUGAGUGAGAGUUCUUGGUGGCACAUACACAGACAGUAUAUAUAUUUAUAGUUCCACGUGUAUAUUUUUAUCUCUUUCUCCCUGCUUCAUGCGUUUAGUUUGAGGUUGGAAAAGCCCGUGGAAAACAUGACUGGGUUGUUUUUAUUUUAUGCUAAUUGGGGAUCAGAUUACAGUACUGUGUUCUUGUUCUUAGUUUCUCCUUGGCAUGGAAGGAAGCUGGUAAAAGGUUAGAAAUGCAGGCGAUGGCCUCUUUCCCCCUGAGAUUGAGGUCGGCCAUUACAUCAGAGAAAGGGCAUCGUAGUCUCCAGUUCUGGGCUCUGGCUAGAGAUGGUAGGCUAAGAGCUUCUUCAGAGGGCAUGAGUGUGUAUGAGUGUUUGUAAGUGUUGCAAUAUUUUGCCCUCCAGAGGCUUCAGUUGAGACUUUCGGCAAUCGUUAGAAGGAGCCGUAUCAGGUUCCAAAGGAGAGACGGAGGCAGCUCUGUGCAUCUCCCUCCUGGCUCUGCCGUGGGGAUUCAGCCUUUAGCAGGGAGGGAAGAUGCCUCAGGUUCUACAGGUGUUUCUUCUAGGCUCUCCAAGAGAAUGCAGCCAGUAUUAACUGCCACAGACAGUGAUGAGCCAGUGUUGCCAGAAGGCUCCUUGCAAGCUAGGCCACGCUACUAGCUUCCCCCACUGAAUAAAACCUGGGCCCUAGCUGCUACCCCUUGAUCAGCCCUGUCUCCGACUGGUCAUCUGCCUUUCCUUCACUCAAGCUAUCAGGACUGAAUUGAAGACCUCUAAGGAGUUGAGUCUUGGGCUCUCAGCCCACAGCUUGAAGACCAAGGGGUGCCGAGAAGGAAAGCCCUCCUGCGGAGCCCUCUCAGACACUUACAGAUACAGUAACAAAGCGGGCUUCAGACAGAGACCCUCUGCCCACCGGAGUCAGAGAAGAUUUCCCCUCUCAUGGGAUUCGUCUGUUAAGUUGGCCAAAUGCCUUGUGCCAAGUUGGACAGUCCUCAAUGUUAUUUCCUUCCUCACAUCAUAACAUUUCCCACCCUAUCCCUUACCAGGCCUCCUCCUCUCCUUCUUUUCUUUUCCGUUAGUCUUCUCCCUACUAAUAACAACUACCAUUUAUCGAGCAUUUUCAUGGGAGUCUCUGGGCUUGGCACAUUGAUGUAUUCUUUGGUCUAACCCUCAGCAUCCCUAGGAGAUAGGUGGGAUGAUCCCCAUUUUACAAAUGGACAAACUGAGGCUUAAUGAGUUUAAAUAAUUGCCUACUGUGGCACAGAUGGGAAGUGGGAGAGCUGCAAUUUGAACCUGGAUUCAGAACUGUCUACGCAGUAUUGUGUUACCCUACCUCCCCCUUCAUUUCCUUCCCACGCCUUCUCUCUCUUCUCUUUCUUCAACUCCUUUUUGUGUCUCCCAUAUUCAUAGAAGAGUCUCAUUUAUUUGGUCAACCAGAGCCCUACUUUCUGGAAUAAUUGUGUAGCUAUACUUUUUGCCUUUCUGAAUAGGUCCUUAAAGUCUUUUAUCCUUUUUCAUGGCUUCCACCAACCUCUCAACGAUGUACACAAUAUUCGUCGCCUGUGUACUGGUAAAGUUGGAAUACAGCCACUUAUGCGAAGGGGAUUUCACCCAGAGGGGAAGCCAGCUCAUCCCUGAGCUGGAUGUCUUUCCGGGAGCCUCAGGCUUUCUUCCCUUCUGUGAGCUUCAGCCACUAGAUGGCGUGCUAAACACAUAAGCGGGAGACGACCUAACAAACCCCCCUCCGCGUCUUCCCUAAGCUCCGCCGCCCCUCUCACCCGCGCGCGCGCACACACAGACGCGCACACACCCAGACGCGGGCAAAGGGGGGCUUCUCGUCCCUGCUCAGGAUUUUUCAACCUCAGAGCCUGAACCCGUCCCUGGAACCUGAGAAAAGCGCCCCCGCCCUGCACGGAAGUCCAGGGAGUACAUGCUAGAUAAGGGCAAUUAGGAAGCAAGUCAGCAUCCACCCCUUUCUGGAGAAGCCCAUCAUGAUACGUGGUUUGUAAUGAUUCUCAAUUUCUCGUGCGUGAUUGAAAAAGCUCCCUGCAUUAAGAAGCUCCCACUUAGAUCUUUCCAUUUCUUUCUGUCGCCUAAGAAAGAAACAGAACUGAUUAGCAGAGACGAGAGAGAGAGAGAGAGAGAGAGAGAGAGAGAGAGAGAGAGAUUUGAGAGAUUGAUGUUGAGUCAGAGAAAGGUAAAAGGAGCAAAAUUCAAAAGUAGAUUUUAGAAAUGCUAAUUUAGGAAUUCACUGAUGAGAAAGUGUCUGCCAUUGGUCUGCAUAGUAAUUUGGAGGGAGGAAAGGAAAGAAUGUGCAAAAUAGAAUUGCUUUAGAGGCGCUGGGCUGGGGAGUAGUCAUCUGAUGAACAUCCAAGUGACUGUAAGGAGGCAUCCAGAAAGGGGUGUGCUAGCUGACCAGACCCACACUCACCCAAGGCUUCAGCAACCUGGGACCAAGACUCAGGGAAAUCUGCUGUCCCGGGCACUCUGGAGAAACCAUAGUUUCUGUCACGUGUAGUUGGUUCCCUUGCACAGAGUCACACUCAGUGGAUGUUACUGAACUGGAUUCAAAACGUUCUAUGGCCUGAGAAAAUCAUUUGCUCAAGAGGAAACCAGAAAAAAAGAAAAGGGGGGAAAACUACAAGCUCUUCGGUGUGGUCUUGGCGGGAAACCACCUCUCCUGCUCUGUCAUGACCUGUUCCCCCAGCAGGAAAAAUCGCAGAGCCAUUUUCUCACACCUGUGUGGCAGAGACACAAACAAUACUCACAUUGAGGACACGGCUAUGUGCUUUUCCUUUCCAUUUUCAGACUCUAAUCAACGUUCAGUCUUAAGCUAUGUUUAUAUGUUCUUCAGUGUGAAAAAGAAUUCUCCUCCUUCUCAGGAUUCACAAUGUAGGACAAACUAAAGACAUAAACAGCAAGGUCAAGGGGAAAGCCCGCGAUGGCUGUGAACUCAGCAUGCUGCUGUAGCCCAGAGAGCCUCUGAGAAAGGGUAAUCCCCCAAAAGAAACACUCUGAAAUUGGCCCUGAAGUGUCAACAAGGUCACGUGUUUAACUGAAAAUUGAAAGGAGUUCUCCUUAAAGACUGAAAAGCCUUCCUUUGCCUGCCCUCCACCCUGCUGAAGUGACAUUUGGAACUCCAGCAACCGUCUUGUACCAGAAGAAGGACCACUCCCUAAGCAUGUUGGAGCAGAACUUUGGAGAAAGACCAGUUCCUUGAUGACUGUGAGGUUGCCGUCGCUUCUGGACUUAAUGUCUCUGAAAUUAUUUUACGUGAAAGAAUGACACUUCUUUAUGAAGGUACUUUUUGUUGGUGGGGAGAGAGGAGUGGUCCAUGUUAUUCUCAGAAGAACCUAAUCCUAAAUGAGAAAUUCCCCACUUCCCUUCCUAGUACUCUGCUUGGAUGUCGUGCUGGGCUUGGGAGAAAGUUGGAGGUAAGUGGGGGCAGUAGUGAGAACAGCUCAUAAGUCAGAAGAUUUGGCAUUCAUUGCAGCUGCAACCUGUAGGCAUGAUUCUCUAAAGAAAAGAUAGACAAGGAGUAACUUUUCUAGAAACUGAAAGAGUUUCUGGAUUACGUGCUGGGUUGGCCCUUGCUACCCUGCUAAAUAAAAGAUAUAGGAAAAUAUAUCAAUGUAAUUUUUCCUUUCUUCUCUUAAUUCCAAGAGGGGGUUGUGUGUGUGUGCGUGUAUGUAAUUCUGAGAAUGUUACAAUUCUGAUUUUCUCAUGAAGAUUAAACGAAAUUUCAGUUUUAAUAUUUUUCAUUUAAGUAGUUAACGGAUAGAAAAUCCUAAAAUCUGAGCACCUGUAACUGUGUUCAAUUUUAACAGAGUUCUGGCCAGUUUUUUAUUUCUGAAAACAAAUUCCCCAGCAACGUGGAGUCCCAGAAAGAAAAGCGCUCACGCAGCUGUGGCUGAAACUUCUUGUUUGGGAGCAAACAAUAUGACCGGUUGUGGUCAUACUUCCUAUGUGGCUUAUAUCUUGUGGUGUCAGAGAAAAGAGAAGAAAAACAUAAGGUUUUGGAGAAAAGGAAAGGAAAAAAAUAUUAGAUGAAGAAGUAAAAUCAUUUUUCUGAUUGAGAGAUGGACUCUGUUUUGCCUUGUUGAAAGAUGUCUAAUAAUGAGAGGAGAGUGGGGUAGAAGGACACCUCCAUUCACUCUUCUUUGCUGCCAGAGUUUGAGUAAAUAAUCAAAUCAUGACAAAUUAUGCCAAAGCUUUUAAUGACAUUAGCUAGUAAACUGCCAUCUGUCCUGAUGUCAAUUCUUCUUGCAUGUGAAUUCCAAGGUGUUGCACUUUUAUAUAUUUUAAGCAAAUGGGUCAAAACUACCCUGGAUCUUUUUGGAAGGUUUUAAAAAUAGUUCAGAAAAUUCUGUUUUCAAAUUUUGUAGGUGAGUAGAGAAAGAAUAACUCCUGAUAACAUUAAAUCAUUUUCAGCAACAAAAUCACUUAUCAAUGGAAGCGUCAUUUCAUAAAGCCUUUUUCAGAGUGUGGGUUUCUUUUGAAAAGCAAUUAUUUUCUCACUCUGUUAAAAUACUUUCUUUACCUUGAAAGAAGUUAUUGAAGUCAACUUCUACAAAAAAUAUCUGCAAUGUAGCAUACUGUCAGAUCUGCUUAAAUCAUCAUUGUUUUUACAUCAUUUAACGGUUGACAAAGAGUUUAUACUAUGUUAAAAACAAGACAACAGGCCCAAAAUGGAGUCACUAAGCCCCACGUCACCAAACCAAGACUUAACCUAAUUCCAGUUCUGGCUCUUCCACAGAAGGAAUCUUAGAGUCAAUCAGGAAUCACCUGAUGAACACUAGUUAGGUCUCCUGCCCGACAGACCUCUGCCAUCUCCCACAAGAAGAAUCCCCGCAGGAACACCCGUCACACUGGUCCAUGCAGAGUCCCUGCCUUCUGGAUAAUCAUGUGUGGUGACAAAGGCCUGAGCCACCCCCAUGCCGAAGUCCU